CAUUUUAAAUUAAUAUACUGUCCGAACAAGCUUAACAGAGAAUCCAAACCGUGCCAUCAUCACACAUCAAGCAGAUGAGGUUACAUAUGGAACAAUGAAAUUAACAGUUCACCUGCUGUGGCCUGAACGUAGUCUCACACUUUCCUCCUGGUGCGCAUGGACUUGUGCAGUCCCUCUUUUUUCACCUCUUUUAUCAACACCAUCGUCGUUUUGGGGCUUUUUGAAGAAACUUCGGACACUCAGCUGCCUUGACAUUUUUCAGAGUAAGGCCAACGACGUCAUGCAUCAAGAGAGACAAUAGCUAAUUAAUAUGCUCACUCGCCACCCUGUGGUCUGGGGUGUGAAUUGCAACCUGUCAAAAUGACAGAUGGACUUCAGUUUUUUCCGUCACCGUUUUAAAAAAUCGGUCAACGACGGAAAAUAUUCGGUUAACGCGACCCCUGGUUUAAACGAUAUAUCGUUCAGGCUUAGACAUAAGGCUUACCUGUUUAAGUCCCAAGAUUUAAAAGGAGUUCGGCUUAGGUCUGAAAGAAUCUAUACACACUUUCUCAUGUAAAUCAAGUUUUUUUUAUAGGCCUCGUUUUGAAAAGUUUGGACUGACAAAAUACUGACAGCAUAAUUUCGGUUCCAACGUUGCAAUUAACAAUGGAUUUAAAACACUGACUGUGACCUCUUUGUAUGCAUACUUACCAAGGUACAACUGUAGUUACAGUGCCCUCCAUAAUUAUUGGCACCCCUGGUUAAGAUGUGUUUUUUAGCUUCUAAUAAUUUUUAUAUUCAAAUAAUAUGGGAACUUCAUGGAAAAAAAAGAAAAAUCCAACCUUCAAUACAAGUGCAUUUAUUCAGUGGGGAAAAAAUCCCACAUAAAGAAAUAAUUAUUUGACAUCAAAUAAUGUGUGUCACAAUUAUUAGCACCCCUGGUGUUAGUACUUUGUACAACCCCCUUUUGCCAUCAAAACAGCACCUAAUUUUCUCCUAUAAUGUUUCACAAGGUUGAUUUUGUGUCUGGUGAACCAUUUCUGUGUAGAUUAGGGCCAUUGUCUUGCUGAAAGACCCAGUGACGACCCAUCUUCAGCUUUUGGGCAGAGGGCAACAGAUUUUGAUUGAAAUGUCCUGGUAUUUCAAAGCAUUCAUGAUGCCAUGCACCCUAACAAGGUUCCCAGGGCCUUUGGAAGCAAAACAGCCACACAGCAUCACUGACCCACCCCCAUUCUUCACAAUGGGUAUGAGGUGCUUUUCAGCAUGCGCAUCUGAAGGGGAAUAUUGGAAUGUGUUGCUUUCAACCUAUCAAGCUGACUCCGCAAAAUAGUGAACAUAACAUGUUUUCUCGUCAAACCGUGUGAAGGGAAUGUGUUAUUCAACCUAUCAAGCUGACUCCGCAAAAUAGUGAACAUAACAUGUUUUCUCGUCAAACCGUGUGAAGGGAAUGUGUUAUUCAACCUUAUCAAGCUGCAAGGUACAGCCUGAAAGGGAGUAAGGAUUCUCGAAGGCCGUAGGCCGUGCGAAACGUCUAAGGGAGAUCCAAACAUUCUCAGAAGCCGUGUGAAACUCGAACGGGAGGGGAAGUUACGAGGCGCGGUACUUGCUAUAAAGAAGCGAUGGCGACAAGUACAAUUAGAGUCCGCUGUGGGAUUACGCGCGGUCGCCCAGCCUUGGUAUUUCUUCGCUCACUAUUACUGAGGACGCCCGGCUCUCCGUCCUUCCAGCACACGCCUGACAAUUGAUAAUGUGAUGUGGAGGCGGUUUAUUGGGACAUCUACUGGGAGAUCGCUACGGCUCUGCAUGGUGGAGGACGCUCGGGGAGUCCGGUGUCCAAGGAAGGUCGUCCCUGCUCCUCUGGACCCCCCCCCCCCUGCACCCCAGGAGUCAACAAUACAGGAAGGGUUCGCAGGGCUCCCAUGGUGGCUGCAGGAUGCCUCAUCACGGUCACGUCUGAAACACCUGUCGGUCGGUCUGUGGCAUCUCGACAACAAAACGUGUCACUCACGCAAUGGCACUGAGUGGAUGACCGAGGUCACGUCUGACCUAUGGAUCUCGAACAGCACGGAAGUUCGAGGGAUCGGAUGAAUUGCUCCUGUUCCUUUGGAUCCCCCUUCUGGUCCCUUUGCCCCCUUGUUUGCCCCCUUUGUCCCCAGAUUGAAGAAAACGCACACGGAGAUUCACUGGAUCGUCUUGUUUCCCCCUUUCCCCACAUGUGCCGCACGGAAACAGCGUGCAGGGUACGACACCCUUCUGGGUGGAACCGGAACAGUGUUAAGCAUCUCUAACACGAUUGAUGGAGAAGUCACCAGAACUAUGUUGUCUAACACCGGAAGUGACAUUGCGCACAAGACCGUAGGGCUUUGGAUGCCCACAUCUAUCGCGCCUCAUGAAGCGGCGUGUUUAUUCUUAGCACAAUUGUCAUGGGAUAAAGGGAUGUGGGAUGCAACACAAGAAGUAUUAACACCUAUAAUUGAUACAUGUACACCUUUGACACAAUCAGUGAUAACUACGAAAAUGCACUGGAAAGUUGUAUUCCCUGUUUUUCCAUCGUGUGCUCGGAGGAAGAGAGAAUGGUAUGACACAUUGUUAGGGGGAACGGGAACGUUAUUGGGGAUAUCUAAUACCGUGGAUAAUGAAGUAACGCGAUAUAAAUUAGCUGGGACCAGACAGGGAACUCAUGAUGCCUUACUAAAAGUAGGAAUGUGGCUUCCUUAUUCAAUCGUGGGACAAAAAGAAAUGUAUUUAAAAGGGAAUUAAACAUGUGGAACGCCACUAGUGAAGUGUUAACCAACGUAACUAAACAGCUAAACUGGAUCAUAUGUAGUAUACAACACUUACAUGCACAGGCGCAAAAAGAGCGUUUUGUACGAAUGAUGACUACAGGGAAUUACCGGGAGUGGCGAAGUGUUUGGAAUAUAUCCUCUGAGUUAUGGUUACAGUUACAUUCGGAAUAUACGAUUUGUAAUACGACCGAAUGUAGGGGAUAUUGGACACAAUACACAGUAACCUCAAACGUUACCGUAUGUAAAUUCCAGGUAUUACCCGUAAUAACUGAACUAGGCUAUUGGUUUUUGCAUAUAGAAGGUGAAUGGUUUAAUUCGGGAACGAACCAAACCUUUAAUACCGAUCUUUGCGAGAACACAGAUAAAGGACUAGCUUGUAAAUUGCAUCACGAAUUUGUUAAUCCUUGCUUAACAAAAGUAGACUUCGCCUUAUGCGAUUGGUCAAGGGAACCGAGUAGGGACAUUUUGUGGCAGGUGGGACCACAUACCCUUUGUGUGGCCACUGCCCAAAAUCACUCCAUGUUGCCAACGGUUCCAUUUGUAGGAUGCCUAUGUAAUGUUCGUUUCUUUCAGUGGGGAAACGGGACGUAUUGGUUGACAAAUUACACAGUUGCUAGCCGGUUUACGGCUGUGUAAUGGGAAGUGUUACAUACACCAUGGCAAAUCUCUUUGGAGCGUUUCAAAUGCGCAUUGGAACAAUCCACUGAGAUAAAGAAAUUGAUUAACACAUGCGUCCAAUGUUUCCCAGCUGAUGGUAUCAACAUUAAUGGCUAAAGGAGAAAUUUUGCAUGCUGCUAAAAUUAUUCAGCAACAAUCUGCUCAUCAUUGGUGGGACAUAUUUACAGGAUUAUCACAAACUGCUAGAGUAACGCUGCUUCCACCAAUGAUUUUAGUCUUAAUCGCUAUUGCUUUAACUACGCUAUGUAAUAUUGGAAUUUGUUGCUAUGUCAAACGUCUAGAGGACCAGGUUGCCCGGAAAAUAUUUCAUCAGUUAGAAUUAUGAGGGUACUGGUAGAAACAAUAGACUUAGACGGGGUAGAUGCAUGCGUAGUAACUAUAACUACUGAAGAAGGGGGGCAUAUCCUGGACUACCAAGAUAUGAGGGGUGGAUUCUUUUAUCGCCGUAUAGAGCGACACCCUGACCGUGUAAAUAUGCUUAUAGCCGCGGUGUAACCGACCAUCAUUCAUUUGUUUAUGCUAAUUUAUUAAUAAAUUAGAGUUGAUUUGGUUUAAAACACCAGGAGUGGAAUGUAAUGUUGUUUUUAACCUCAUCAACUAACAUCAAGCUGCAAGGUAACAUAAAUCGGAAUGUGUUAAGUUUGCACAAGGCCUAAUUAAUUAAUCAGGACUCGGCUUGAUGUGGUUGAAAGCACCAGGAGUGGAAUGAAGGGGAAUAUUGGAAUGUGUUGCUUUCAACCUAUCAAGCUGACUCCGCAAAAUAGUGAACAUAACAUGUUUUCUCGUCAAACCGUGUGAAGGGAAUGUGUUAUUCAACCUAUCAAGCUGACUCCGCAAAAUAGUGAACAUAACAUGUUUUCUCGUCAAACCGUGUGAAGGGAAUGUGUUAUUCAACCUUAUCAAGCUGCAAGGUACAGCCUGAAAGGGAGUAAGGAUUCUCGAAGGCCGUAGGCCGUGCGAAACGUCUAAGGGAGAUCCAAACAUUCUCAGAAGCCGUGUGAAACUCGAACGGGAGGGGAAGUUACGAGGCGCGGUACUUGCUAUAAAGAAGCGAUGGCGACAAGUACAAUUAGAGUCCGCUGUGGGAUUACGCGCGGUCGCCCAGCCUUGGUAUUUCUUCGCUCACUAUUACUGAGGACGCCCGGCUCUCCGUCCUUCCAGCACACGGUAAUGAGAUUUAUGUUAUUGCAUGUAAUCUAUGAGCUGAAAUACAUUUGUUGCUUGCUUGCUUGUACACUUUAUACUGUGGGUUAAAUAAAAUGUGCCGCUUGUUUAA
This is a long non-coding RNA of Corythoichthys intestinalis (scribbled pipefish), 4719 nucleotides long. RefSeq lists it as uncharacterized. NCBI's taxonomy places the organism in Eukaryota, Metazoa, Chordata, Actinopteri, Syngnathiformes, Syngnathidae. The transcript is spliced from 2 exons. The record is from RefSeq and is a predicted model, not a curated record.